This 450-nucleotide ribosomal RNA is filed under the name uncultured bacterium. Its description in RNAcentral is "bacterial SSU rRNA". It matches the Rfam family "Bacterial small subunit ribosomal RNA", at positions 354 to 796 of the family's 1533-position model. The record is from RNAcentral.
GUGGGGAAUUUUGGACAAUGGGCGCAAGCCUGAUCCAGCAAUGCCGCGUGCAGGAAGAAGGCCUUCGGGUUGUAAACUGCUUUUGUACGGAACGAAACGGUCCUGGUUAAUACCUGGGGCUAAUGACGGUACCGUAAGAAUAAGCACCGGCUAACUACGUGCCAGCAGCCGCGGUAAUACGUAGGGUGCGAGCGUUAAUCGGAAUUACUGGGCGUAAAGCGUGCGCAGGCGGUGCUGUAAGACAGGCGUGAAAUCCCCGGGCUCAACCUGGGAAUUGCGCUUGUGACUGCAGUGCUGGAGUACGGCAGAGGGGGAUGGAAUUCCGCGUGUAGCAGUGAAAUGCGUAGAUAUGCGGAGGAACACCGAUGGCGAAGGCAGUCCCCUGGGCCUGUACUGACGCUCAUGCACGAAAGCGUGGGGAGCAAACAGGAUUAGAAACCCUGGUAGUCC